Pezoporus occidentalis (night parrot) is the source of this 1266-nucleotide long non-coding RNA. RefSeq lists it as uncharacterized. NCBI's taxonomy places the organism in Eukaryota, Metazoa, Chordata, Aves, Psittaciformes, Psittacidae. The record is from RefSeq and is a predicted model, not a curated record. The transcript is spliced from 2 exons.
GGUGGGCCAUCAGACCAGCUCAGAUGAGAAGAGUGACCAUAUAGUUCAUCCAGCCUGAGAGCAGUGAAAGAAACUGAGAAUCCCUGCUGAAGGGCUGCAUCUGUUAUGAAAAUCAUCUUCCAGCCAUGGCUUCAGUUUCUUUUGCAAGAAAUCAAUUCCUUGGUGAAGCUACUUCUCACUUACAGUGUAAGAUACAAUAAUAGACUAGGAGAAAAAUGCAUUUUUGGCACCUUUUGGCUUAACCUACUUGAAAAUGAACUUCUCCAGCUUCCAAAAUGAGCAAACUUCUCUGCAAGAAGGGUUGCAAGGGGAAGUCAAUCUGUUUGUAGAGCAGUGAAGAAGUGUGAUAAAUUCAGAUCUUAAAUUCUUCAGCUUUUACACGGAUGCCACUCAGGCAGACUUCUCAUUCUCUUUAAUAACCAUCGUGCUUCGAUAGAAAUCAAGUACAGGCCUCAGGAUUUGUCCACACAGCCUAACAAAUCCCAGCAAAUAUUGAUUAAAACUGAAAUGAAGCUAACAGGAACAGUCAAAGCUGACUGCCUAAUGCAAGUGAUUUAUUACACAACGCUAUGUUUUUCCUCUGGCUGAUGUGCAAGUAGGCUCUGAAUACUAGUCCUGAAUUAGAGGAAUUAUCCUGUUCAGCCACUCAACAAAUUCUGGCUGAUGCAAAUGCUCCUUACUGAAAGAACUGAGUCACAAUUUCACGAAGAAACCUUUUUCCAGCUGUAACUGCCUUAAAAAAGGAGCGUUUGAACAUCAUUUCUAUGAGCGCCAUCUGGUGAUUUCCCAGCAAGGGCUCACGUUCCCAAGCCAAAUGACAAAGCCAGCUAGCAGUUCAGCUACAACUUACGCCUGUACGUGCUCUCCGAGAAGUUGGUGCAAGUAUAAAAUACAGGGUGAUAAUUUCAGCUUUAUAAGUAUCUGCUUGCUGCAGAGAAAUGCAAACGGAAUUCGAUUCUGUAUGUCAUUAGUGCUCUCUCUGCCUUGCUUUAUCUCAAGAUCUCAGUGCCUUCUCCUAAAUCUAACACGUAAAUAUCACCACAUCCUUUUCUGAAGGGCUGUUAACAUUCUUGGCAAUAUAAGCUAGAAAAACCAAGGUGAAGAGGAAUAAUCCAUUCUAGUCCAUACAGUAAAGCAGAGCCCAGCUCCCAGUUUUCCGGAUCUGUGCUCCUCUCACUAAAGCAUAUUUGCUUUAGUAAUCCAAUCUCUCCCAAUGUUAAUUUUGCACUAGUUUCUGUUUUGUUAAUAAAAUCAAAUGUCAGCCUU